This is a long non-coding RNA of Xenopus tropicalis (tropical clawed frog), 3603 nucleotides long. RefSeq lists it as uncharacterized. The transcript is spliced from 2 exons. The record is from RefSeq and is a predicted model, not a curated record. NCBI's taxonomy places the organism in Eukaryota, Metazoa, Chordata, Amphibia, Anura, Pipidae.
AAACAACACCAUAAAAAUCAUGACAGAAUCCCUUUAAGGUUUACAUACUAUAUUUUUGCUGAUAACACUAUGCUAUAGUAAGUUCAAUAAGUUCCACUGACCGAUGAACAGAUUAUUUAACUGAUUACACUGGAGAACUAGGAAGCAAUUUGGCAAAUAAGAUUCAAUGGUGUUAAAUGCAAGGGUAUUCACUGGUAAAAUAAAUGUUAUUUAAAUAUUAAUGGUAAUUUGUUGGAGGCCUCCUUAAAGAAACAGCAACACCAAAAAAUUAAAUUGUUUCAAGUAAUUAAAAUAUAAUUUAUUGUUGCCCUGCUCUGGUGUGUUUGCUUCAGAAACACUACUAUACUUUAUAUAAAAAAAGCUGCUGUGUAGUGAUGGAGAGAGCUGUUCAAGAGCCAUUCAGUUUCAUGAAACGUAUUUUUUAGUGCUAAAAUUUGUGGAUUAUAAUAAUUACUCUAAAACACUAAAAAUUCCUAAUUAGCAUAACAAACUGAAAAAAUACAAAACUAGGCCAUCACAAAGUUGUCUAGGUCAUGUAGAAGUCAGUGAUAGCUGUUCUAGGUAAUCUUUAUUUAACUUGAAGUUUUAGAGGUUUUUGUGAUUUUUUUAAAUUUGUAAUCACACAAAAAUUUCAAGAUUUUUCGGAUAAUUAUGUGCAUUUUUUCAAAGGAUUUUUUGUUUGUGCAUUUUAUAUUAGGUUGUUUUAAUAAUAACUUGGCAUUUGUGGUUUUAGUGAAAAUGAGCUUUUUUUUGUGGUUUCAAAAACCACUAAAACCACUAAAUUACUGUUACUAUGUUGAUAAAUGGGCCUCCCAAUGUAAGAAAGAUAUACUUUCACUUUUUUAAUUUACUGGCCUUUUACUUGAGAAGGAUUUUUUUUUUUGGAUUAUUGACUGCACAACACUAAGCGGUGUCAGUCAUUGCUUGGAAAAGGACAUUAAUGAGCUGGAAAAAGGACACAGACUUGCAUUUCAACUAGGAGGAAAGAAUAUCAAAGUUUGUGUUAUUUUCUCUGGAAAAAAGAAGCUUGCACGGGGACAUGAUUACUUUUUAUAAGUAUUCUAGAGGACAUAGGUCAGGACAAAGGUCAGGAUAGUCAUGUAUCUAUAUGUAUAUGUAAAUAUAUAAAUAUAUAGCGUUAACUUGGAACGCUAUUGUCUAUUUCAACCCAAAUAAAAGGGGACAUAUAGGGGAAGAUUUAUUAAUCUUUGUCCUUCAUGUCUGAGCAACCAAUUGCUGGCUUGCUGCCAAAUAUGAGUGGGUUUUUCACACAAAACUCAUGACCUUAACCUGGCAAGCUUAACCGGACUGAAUCCGGGAUUUGGUGCAUCCCUAAUUAAUACAGCAGUUGAAUAUUUGAAGCUAUUUUGAUCUCUUUUAUUUUAUUGCUUAAUGCAGUGGCACAACAUUUUUUGGACGCUAUUGAUCCCCUUGAACUAUGUAACUAUGUGACUUAAUGCUGUUUUUGAUUUCAGUAUUAAAUGAGAUAAAGUCAACUAAGCAUCAUUUAUCUCUUUAGAGGCCUACCACCAAGAUUCCUAAUACUGUGUUACCAACAUUAUUUAUGUAAUAUAUACAUUUCCUCUAGUUGCUUACCAUACUCUCAAAGGCUUAUUAGUUUAAGAACAGAGCACACCUUGAGAAUGGAAACUUUGACAACCUUAAAUAAGCAAUUGGACUUUUUAAAGCACAAACCUCACUUAGAAUUAGGAAACAAUAUAUAUACUUAAGGUUGAAGAGGAAGGAUGUUGGGAAAUUUAGAUAAUUUGGAUAGUGACAUUUAAAUGCUCUAAAGCAAGUAAUUUGUAGGGUGUGAGACAGGACAAAUUCCAGCAAAAAUUUUGAGAAUAUGAUUUUAGGUCUUCUUAAAAAUGCAUCCACUAAAAAGAGAAAAGUGUUCCUCUGUAAACAGUGUGUACAUUUUUUGCAUCAGAUGAUUUAGCAAUUGUCAGUUAUGGAGUACUUUAGAUAAGAAAAUGUUUGGUUUAUGACUGGUGAUUCACAGAGUUGCUUGUUGGGAAAGCAUCCUAAGGUCUAUGGAAUAAACCCAAUUGAAGUUUUGGUAUUUAGUAAUGAACUAAUAUUUUAUACUUAUUAUUUACUACAGUCAGGUGUUUUUAAUUGAGAUUUUUUUUCUGCAAAUAGUUGAAAUGAUAAGUCGAUGACUAACAAUAUUUGAUUUUUCCCUCUUAAAAUGGAGAACAUCUUUGUUUAAAUGAUUUGCAAGCAUCUGUGCUCCAAGCUACUUUUAUGAACACUCCUUAUGACUUAAUGUUGAAAAAAAAGCAGAAAAGCUUCAAAUGUUAGGAAAUUGCAAUCCAAAACCAUGUAAUUUAAACCUGAAGUCACUUCUCUUGAACUAAAUGACAUACAGAUGGUAAGUCCUCUUCUCAAGUCUUUGCAAACACAAUUGGCCUUUUUAUAGGUGCGCACACAUAUUAGUAACACUAAUAUUUUUGUCAAUUCUAUUUAAAGCUAAAGCACACAGCGCACUUCUACUGAUAAUUAAAAUUCUUGUUUUUUUCAGUAUUAAUAUAUUAACUAUGUAAAAACACUAUGUAAACAAGAAUAUAUUCACAUUCACAAAAGAAGUGUAUUUAGAAAUCACACACUAGGCACAACAUUUAUUUGAAAACGAAUAUAUGUCUGAUAUGUGUUAUGCCAGUAUGACGUGCAAUACAUAUAUUGGUGCAAAUGGCCAAAUAUAAUGUAUGCUCCAUCUGUAUGUAAUAUACAGUUUUAUUUCCCUCAGCCUGAUAUGCGCAAAUUCUAUAUUCACAUAGGAUGUGUAUAAUUUUAUGUCAUACCUUAAACUUUAGUGCUUUAAAAUAUAUUUGUAAAUGUAAUUGCUAUUCAAAGCAGCAUCUACUGUAGAUGGUGAAAUCCUUUGAAUUUCUUCUUGAAAUUCUUUGAAAUUUUACAUUGGGGAAUGUUAAUCUUAAAUUUUUGCAUGCAAUAUUUACACACACACACACACUCCAUUUUUUUGAAACAUGUUGCUACCAUCGAACUCAAAAUGAGCAUGUAUUUUUCAGAAAACAUUAAAAUAAGAAGAAUAAAAUUAUUAAGUUUGACAUUUGAUAUGUUGUCUUUGUUUUGUUUGCAGUUACAUAUAGGGUUUAAAUGGCUUGCAAGCAUUGCUUUGUCUUUUUAUUUACAUUUUACACAGUUUUUCUGAAAUUAUGCAGCUUCUGAUCUAAGGUAUAUAGGUUGUAUAGGCAGAUAUGCUCUCAGUGCAUCUUUCAGUUGGUUUGGUAAUGCUAAUUGUUACAGCAUUGCAACUACAAUCUGUUUUUCCUCCCACCUGUGUUUUUCUGAUCAGGGUUAAGAUAUUUCUGUGCUGUAAUGUUACAUGAACAUAGCAGCAGACACAAUAAAGUAAAGUAGACUUUCAUAAGUAUUUAACCAUAUUCCUGCCUCUGUAUGCUAAACUUUAAUGUAUAAUCUUUAGUACAUUUUGUUAAGGGGGAACCUACCUUUGCCAUAUCAUUGUUGUAAACCCUGUCUACAAAGCUGGGCAAAAUAUUCGAAUAGAUAAGUCCUCUGCGCUCAGCCUUCCAGACUUCAUGCAUCAAACCCCCAGCAAUAGAGCCGCACUCUCAA